CCUACGGGAGGCAGCAGUGGGGAAUAUUGCACAAUGGGCGAAAGCCUGAUGCAGCGACGCCGCGUGAGGGAUGACGGCCUUCGGGUUGUAAACCUCUUUCAGCAGGGAAGAAGCGAAAGUGACGGUACCUGCAGAAGAAGCACCGGCUAACUACGUGCCAGCAGCCGCGGUAAUACGUAGGGUGCGAGCGUUGUCCGGAAUUAUUGGGCGUAAAGAGCUUGUAGGCGGUUUGUCGCGUCUGCUGUGAAAAUCCGGGGCUCAACCCCGGACUUGCAGUGGGUACGGGCAGACUAGAGUGUGGUAGGGGAGACUGGAAUUCCUGGUGUAGCGGUGAAAUGCGCAGAUAUCAGGAGGAACACCGAUGGCGAAGGCAGGUCUCUGGGCCACUACUGACGCUGAGAAGCGAAAGCAUGGGGAGCGAACAGGAUUAGAUACCCUGGUAGUCCAUGCCGUAAACGUUGGGCGCUAGGUGUGGGACUCAUUCCACGAGUUCCGUGCCGCAGCUAACGCAUUAAGCGCCCCGCCUGGGGAGUACGGCCGCAAGGCUAAAACUCAAAGGAAUUGACGGGGGCCCGCACAAGCGGCGGAGCAUGCGGAUUAAUUCGAUGCAACGCGAAGAACCUUACCAAGGCUUGACAUAUACCGGAAACUUCCAGAGAUGGUUGCCCCCUUUGGGUCGGUAUACAGGUGGUGCAUGGUUGUCGUCAGCUCGUGUCGUGAGAUGUUGGGUUAAGUCCCGCAACGAGCGCAACCCUCGUUCUAUGUUGCCAGCACGUUAUGGUGGGGACUCAUGGAAGACUGCCGGGGUCAACUCGGAGGAAGGUGGGGAUGACGUCAAAUCAUCAUGCCCCUUAUGUCUUGGGCUUCACGCAUGCUACAAUGGCCGGUACAAAGGGCUGCGAUGCCGUAAGGUGGAGCGAAUCCCAUAAAACCGGUCUCAGUUCGGAUUGGGGUCUGCAACUCGACCCCAUGAAGUCGGAGUCGCUAGUAAUCGCAGAUCAGCAACGCUGCGGUGAAUACGUUCCCGGGCCUUGUACACACCGCCCGUCAAGUCACGAAAGUCGGUAACACCCGAAGCCGGUGGCCCAACCCUUGUGGGGGGAGCCGUCGAAGGUGGGACUGGCGAUUGGGACUAA
RNAcentral lists this ribosomal RNA (1136 nucleotides) under Janibacter terrae. RNAcentral describes it as "bacterial SSU rRNA". It matches the Rfam family "Bacterial small subunit ribosomal RNA", at positions 338 to 1484 of the family's 1533-position model. The record is from RNAcentral. Lineage: Bacteria; Bacillati; Actinomycetota; Actinomycetes; Micrococcales; Intrasporangiaceae.